GGGCGCGUAGCUCAGCGGCGAGAGCAACCGCCUUACACGCGGUAGGUCCUCGGUUCGAAUCCGAGCGCGCCCA
Molecule: transfer RNA, 73 nt
Filed under: Phycisphaeraceae bacterium
Lineage: Bacteria; Pseudomonadati; Planctomycetota; Phycisphaerae; Phycisphaerales; Phycisphaeraceae
Description: tRNA-Val
Rfam family: tRNA
About the family: Transfer RNA (tRNA) molecules are approximately 80 nucleotides in length. Their secondary structure includes four short double-helical elements and three loops (D, anti-codon, and T loops). Further hydrogen bonds mediate the characteristic L-shaped molecular structure. tRNAs have two regions of fundamental functional importance: the anti-codon, which is responsible for specific mRNA codon recognition, and the 3' end, to which the tRNAs corresponding amino acid is attached (by aminoacyl-tRNA synthetases). tRNAs cope with the degeneracy of the genetic code in two manners: having more than one tRNA (with a specific anti-codon) for a particular amino acid; and 'wobble' base-pairing, i.e. permitting non-standard base-pairing at the 3rd anti-codon position.
Source: RNAcentral